Molecule: long non-coding RNA, 653 nt
Organism: Arabidopsis lyrata subsp. lyrata
Lineage: Eukaryota; Viridiplantae; Streptophyta; Magnoliopsida; Brassicales; Brassicaceae
Exons: 3
Source: RefSeq, a predicted model, not a curated record
AAAUCACCUCUUGCAUUUCAUUUCUUCAAGCUUCAUAUCACGUUUCAUCUUUUCAAAAAAAUCAUCACCUCUUUAACAUAUUCUCCAAGUUUCAGAUAUGACGUCUAAUCGCCGACAAAACACAAAUAAUAUUGUGGAUGCUGAUACAAAUUUUUCUGCUGAAACAUCACAACGGGUAAAUAUCUCCUAUUUGUUUUUCUAAAUUUUAGCGUAGUUAAAGUUUAAUUUAAAAAUAUGUUUGAAUUUUAAAAAACAUUUGUAGUGUGGAGACAAUUUCAAAUGGACUCCUAACCGAGAAAGUAUAUUUCUUGAAUUAUACGAUAAAGCAAUUGCCAUGAAUAAUUACCGUUUAAAAGACCCUACACCCCUUGGUAAACAGUUUUUGGUUGAACAAUUUAACGAGAAGUUCAGUGUUAAUAUAAACUAUCGGUUCUUCAAAGAAAAGAUUGAUCAGUUGAAAAAAAAGUAGAAAAAGUAUGUACAGCUUAUGGAUAACACGGGCAUCACGGUUGACCCUGUCACACAUCAGAUAAAUGCAAGUAAUGGUGGAAAGAUCAAGAAGUAUGUAAGAUUGUACACGCAUUUCAACGGCAACCGCCACAACUUUGGGAUGUGAUGCAACGUUGUUUCAGAUUAUAUAAUGUGAAAUCCCA